RNAcentral lists this ribosomal RNA (468 nucleotides) under uncultured bacterium. Its description in RNAcentral is "partial 16S ribosomal RNA". It matches the Rfam family "Bacterial small subunit ribosomal RNA", at positions 28 to 507 of the family's 1533-position model. The record is from RNAcentral.
GACGAACGCUGGCGGCGGGCUUAACACAUGCCAGUCGAACGGAAAGGCCCUGCUUUUGUGGGGUGCUCGAGUGGCGAACGGGUGCGUAACACGUGAGUAACCUGCCCUUGACUUUGGGAUAACUUCAGGAAACUGGGGCUAAUACCGUAUAGGAGCUCCUGUUGCGUGGUGGGGGUUGGAACGUUUCGGCGGUUGGGGAUGGACGCGCGGCUUAUCAGCUUGUUGGUUGGGGAGUGGCUUACCAAGGCUUUGACGGGUAGCCGGCAUGAGAGGGUGACCGGCCACAAUGCUACUGAGAUACGGCCCAGACUCCUACGGUAGGCAGCAGUGGGGAAUAUUGCACAAUGGGCGGAAGCCUGAUGCAGCAACGCCGCGUGCGGGAUGACGGCCUGCGGGUUGUAAACAGCUUUCGCCUGUGACGAAGCGUGAGUGACGGUAAUGGGUAAAGAAGCACCGGCUAACUACGUG